This 292-nucleotide ribosomal RNA is filed under the name uncultured bacterium. RNAcentral's name for it is "partial 16S ribosomal RNA". The record is from RNAcentral.
GGACUACCGGGGUAUCUAAUCCUGUUUGCUCCCCACGCUUUCGCGCCUGAGCGUCAGCCGUCGGCCAGGGCACUGCCUUCGCCAUUGGUGUUCCUCCGGAUCUCUACGCAUUUCACCGCUCCACCCGGAAUUCCAUGCCCCUCUCCGACGCUCAAGCCGGGCGGUUUGACGGGACCUCUCCUAGUUAAGCCAGGAGCUUUCACCCGCCACCUGCCAGGCCGCCUGCGCGCCCUUUACGCCCAGUAACUCCGGACAACGCUCGUCUCCUACGUAUUACCGCGGCUGCUGGCAC